UAUUUCACUCAUAUCACCCUGCAGCCAAGAGCGGUUAAUCACUGAAGCUCAGCAGGGCUGAGCCUGGUCAGUACCUGGAUGGGAGACCACAUAGGAACACUAGGUUGCUGUGGGAA
Molecule: ribosomal RNA, 116 nt
Filed under: Danio rerio (zebrafish)
Lineage: Eukaryota; Metazoa; Chordata; Actinopteri; Cypriniformes; Danionidae
Source: RNAcentral